UCUCCGUUGGUGAACCAGCGGAGGGAUCAUUACUGGAAUCGCAAGAUCCCACAACCCUGUGAACCUACCGAAACGUUGCCUCGGCGGGUGCCUGGCCCGCGCCGGGCGCUGCGCCCGCCGGCGGCCCCCUACUCUGUCUCUGCAGCGUGGCAUCUCAGAGUCCCAGAAAACAAGUCAAAACUUUCAACAACGGAUCUCUUGGCUCUA
Molecule: unclassified non-coding RNA, 207 nt
Filed under: plant metagenome
Description: partial contains small subunit ribosomal RNA, internal transcribed spacer 1, and 5.8S ribosomal RNA
Source: RNAcentral